This is a non-coding RNA of Merluccius polli (Benguela hake), 66 nucleotides long. NCBI's taxonomy places the organism in Eukaryota, Metazoa, Chordata, Actinopteri, Gadiformes, Merlucciidae. The record is from the annotation of a GenBank genome assembly.
UAGCUCAACUGGUAGAGCAUGGCAUUACAGUUGCCAGGGGUAUGGGUUCGAUUCCUACUGGGACCA